GUGAAAUUUUUGUCCCUUCAAAACUCACACUUAGUAGCCUUCAGAAACCCUCUCACCAUCAAAGAAGAAACCUCAGUGAAAUUUUUUUGUCUCUUUUUCAAUUUUCCUUUUCUCCAAAACACUUCGUUCGCGAAAGUGCGACACUCAGCUCAUCACCCUGAUCAUCAUAUCGCACUUCGCCACUCAGCUCAUCACCUUCGCCCCCCACUCAGCUCAUCACUUUCGCCACUCUCCGUCGCCACUCACCGUCGCUCCUAUUCUCCGCUCACCAUUCACCACUCAGCAUUCACCACUUGCCACUCACCAUCGCUUCUAUACGCCCUUCUGCAUUGAUCGUCGCUGCAUGCUCCCCAUCGUCGUCUCUGCGCUCGGCAUCGUCCUCUCUGCGCUCACCAUCAUCGAGAAGGUGAACUCGUGGACUGUAGUAGGAAUAGGAGGCUUUACUGUUCGUGGACUUCGUGUCGUAGACUUCACGAUUCUCUUUUCAUCGAAGUGCAGGGGCAUUUGAGUUUUGAAAUACUUUCAAUUCUUAUUAUUAGUCUUCAAUAUGUAGUGCAAGAUCACUUGGAGGAUUUUAAUUGGUGUUGCCAUGGAAUAUGUAAUCCGACAGCCCAUUCCAGAGGUAAGCAGCACUGUAUUUCUCAAAAUUUGGAGGUGAAAAAGUUUUUGAUUGAUGCACUAAUUUAUGAAGUUUUAUUCCUUAAUUUGUCUUCAAUUUUUUAAAACUUUUGCUUCAAUUUACUUGUGUAACUUGAUGUAUUCUUGAACUAUGUGUUAUGUGCAUUGGUGGAGAUUUUUCUACUUGUGUUCAGUGCAGUAAAUUGCCAGUCCUACUUGUAUUCAGUGCUGUGAGAUUUUGCUAAUCAACAUGUUUGCUAGUAAAUUUAGAAGUUCAUAUAGUUCUAAUUUCUACUGUGUUGUGUGCCUGUGUCCUUUCUCGACAUCCAUUUGUUGACUUAUUUUGGUGUUGCAUGUUAUUUUGUGCUUUCAGUUGAUUUCCUGAGAUUUUCAAUUUCUGCUGAGUGUGAUUAGGUGAUUAGGGUUCCUAAUCCCCAUUAUCAAGAACAAAACACAUAGCUCAAGUUGUUGCAGCUGGGCUCAAUCUUCCUUUUGAAGAAGGCCCCCAGUGUAAUGUUAGCCACUCAGGUCCAAUUUCUGCAAGGAAGGCUAUUUAAUUUCACUGCCUGCUUCAUAAUAUUUUUAGCCCUCAGUUAUAAUCUUUCUUUUAUUCUCUUUCACGUAUAUCUGUUUUGAUUAAUCAGUUGUCACUUGAAGUCCAUUUUACUGUACAGGUAGUGGAAGAUCUCUGUGAGUGCUAUUUUGGUCCUUCAUUUGAACUUCUUUCACAUGAUAAGGUAAGUGAGAUGUUUAACGGCACUUUUAUAUGCUCUGCUGAUCACCCUGUACCACCAUAGUAAAAUUGCCAAUUGAAAAAAAAUUUAUGCUAUACUCUGUAAUUAAGGUUAAAUUUAAUUAGGAUUCUAUAUCACAAUUUCAUAUUUAAUUAGGGUUUUUCUAUGUUUGGUUCAAUUUCUGCCGUGCUGUCUGUGUUAGAAGCUUUCUUGUGCAGAAUCGCAUUUGAGCGCUGCUUGUUAUUAUUAGUGUUGAAUUCUAAUUUUGUUCUUUAUUCAAUUUGUCAUGAAUUGACUUUGGUUUUAUUUGAUGGUUUCCUGUGGUUCUGAUUUUAUGGUUCAGUGAAAUUUGAGAGGUUUGGGAUUCCGAUUUAGGGUUUUUAUUUGGGGGUGUUAGCUACUGGAUAUACCACUGAUAGGAAUUGGGGGUUUUAGCAUUAUACUGCAUGAUCAAUGCCGAGCAGCAGACUUUCAUUUUCUCUCAGUGACAUUUAAUCGGAAAAGAGGAGAAACUAUUAGUAAGUGUAGCUUCUGCUAAAGAGCUUCUCUUCAAGUGGUAUUUCAGGGUAACUCAAGAGCUUCUCUUCAUCUUUAUAUUCAUAUUUGGACGGCAAGUACUAAACUUUACCAUUACAGACUAACUGUGAUGCAAAAUGCAUGCUUCCAUUUGGAUUAAGUUAAAGGGUACUUCAUUUUGUACCUUUAUCUAUAUAUGCUAUACCUGCAUGCAAAUGGGCGUUGAAUUCUUUGGAUAUGCAUGGCUUAGUUAGCAUUUAAUUGGUUCAACUGUAUGGACUCUUGAAAUAUAUUAAAAAUAUAUAUAUGAUUUUUUUUCCUACCCAAUUGCAUAGGCAGUCAAAUAAUGCACACUUAGGAAAUAGUUUCUUUUUGAUUCCGUGGUUUAUUCUUCUUAAGUGACUUGCAUAAUACAUAUUAGUGUUUUACAUGUAGAAGAUCAAAGUUUGUGAGAUUGAGGGAUUGUCAAUAGACUAGAAUGUAUUCAUAGCUUCUCCUAACCUGAUCAAGCAUGGUGGGGCUACAGAUUUAAUAUGGUUUAAGGUAUCAAGCCCAUGAACUCCAAGGGAGAAGCUUACCAAAUAAUGCUAUCAACCUUUUUCCUGCAUGAUAAUGAUGAUUAUUAUUGCUGAACAAGUUCUCAUGAAAAAGGAUUGGUAUAAGAAGUGAGGACCUAGAAAAUUCAUUGGAGUUGUUGAUAAAGGGUUGUAGCAUGUCCCUUUCAUUUGCAUUAAUAUAUAUCAUUCAUUUUAACUUGUGCCGGUCAUAUUUGGGAUGUUUGUGUACAAGGCUGCAGUUCUAGUUCAAGUUAAUAGAGACAAUGAAGACUUGCAAUCAGUAUUUCCAGAAAAUGACUUACUCAAUUGAAUGAUAUUUUAUUUGAAGGGAAAUGAAGAGAGCUAUAACCAAAGCUAUUCACCAGAAGAUGCAGCUUUCAUACGUCCAUUUUUAUUUUGUUCAUUCCAAUUUAAGAUUCCGAUCAUAGUUCUCUAUUAAUGAACUGAGUUUGAUUGAGUUGCAAAAGUAAUAUAUGUAAUGUAAUAUGAAUGCAGGCAAUAAUUAGGGGUGUGACAUGGCUUCUACAUUAUUUUUGGAAUGUACACAAUUAGCAUGUUUAUUUGAUUCUCGAUUUGGUAAUGAAUUUGUUUGAAGUUAUUUAUUAUGAUGAUGAAUUGUUGAUUUGCUGCAGAUUGAGCAUUAAGAUCCAGUUGCAUCUGAUGCAUUCCAUGAAUGGUAACCGCCGAUGAUUUAGAUCGAGUCUCCAUUUGGAACUAGGAACACCGCCAAUGCUGUAGUCGGAUAUUGGUCAUUGUAUUAAUAAGUUUCCUAUAAAAAUAAAUGACUACUAGGUUUUUGUAUUGUUCGAAUGUACAUCUAGUUAGGUAACAACAGAAAUAUUUAAAACUGAUGCGAUCGCUCUGUAAUUUCCAGGUAAUUUCCAGUUAUUAUGAGAACUAGUUGUAUUUUA
Molecule: RNA transcript, 3336 nt
Organism: Arachis stenosperma
Lineage: Eukaryota; Viridiplantae; Streptophyta; Magnoliopsida; Fabales; Fabaceae
Exons: 3
Source: RefSeq, a predicted model, not a curated record